GACGAACGCUGGCGGCGUGCUUAACACAUGCAAGUCGAACGGAAAGGCCCUGCUUGCCGGGUACUCGAGUGGCGAACGGGUGAGUAACACGUGGGUGAUCUGCCCUGCACUUCGGGAUAAGCCUGGGAAACUGGGUCUAAUACCGGAUAGGAGCCAUUUUUAGUGUGAUGGUUGGAAAGUUUUUUCGGUGUAGGAUGAGCUCGCGGCCUAUCAGCUUGUUGGUGGGGUAAUGGCCUACCAAGGCGGCGACGGGUAGCCGGCCUGAGAGGGUGGACGGCCACAUUGGGACUGAGAUACGGCCCAGACUCCUACGGGAGGCAGCAGUGGGGAAUAUUGCACAAUGGGCGCAAGCCUGAUGCAGCGACGCCGCGUGGGGGAUGACGGCCUUCGGGUUGUAAACUCCUUUCGCUAGGGACGAAGCUUUUUGUGACGAUACCUAGAUAAGAAGCACCGGCUAACUACGUG
This 465-nucleotide ribosomal RNA is filed under the name uncultured bacterium. RNAcentral's name for it is "partial 16S ribosomal RNA". It matches the Rfam family "Bacterial small subunit ribosomal RNA", at positions 28 to 507 of the family's 1533-position model. The record is from RNAcentral.